Molecule: ribosomal RNA, 465 nt
Filed under: Vreelandella stevensii
Lineage: Bacteria; Pseudomonadati; Pseudomonadota; Gammaproteobacteria; Oceanospirillales; Halomonadaceae
Description: partial 16S ribosomal RNA
Rfam family: Bacterial small subunit ribosomal RNA
Source: RNAcentral
CCUACGGGGGGCUGCAGUGGGGAAUAUUGGACAAUGGGGGCAACCCUGAUCCAGCCAUGCCGCGUGUGUGAAGAAGGCCCUCGGGUUGUAAAGCACUUUCAGUGAGGAAGAACGCCUGGUGGUUAAUACCCAUCAGGAAAGACAUCACUCACAGAAGAAGCACCGGCUAACUCCGUGCCAGCAGCCGCGGUAAUACGGAGGGUGCGAGCGUUAAUCGGAAUUACUGGGCGUAAAGCGCGCGUAGGUGGCUUGAUAAGCCGGUUGUGAAAGCCCCGGGCUCAACCUGGGAACGGCAUCCGGAACUGUCAAGCUAGAGUGCAGGAGAGGAAGGUAGAAUUCCCGGUGUAGCGGUGAAAUGCGUAGAGAUCGGGAGGAAUACCAGUGGCGAAGGCGGCCUUCUGGACUGACACUGACACUGAGGUGCGAAAGCGUGGGUAGCAAACAGGAUUAGAUACCCCCGUAGUC